GGCAUUGUGGGACACACCGUGGAUGACUGCAGUAGCAUGUUUUGGAUGUGGGUUCUGUUGCCGAAAGGCUGCAGCUCAGCGAUGACAAAAGUUGGACCUGCCUGCUCCAGCACCUUGUGCACCUUCCCGCUGUCUGCGUCUGAUCCAAUCUUUCAGCUCUUGGUAGUCUUUCCUUUGCCUUAGCACUUCCCGGGGGAGAUUCUGGCUGUUUUCAACGCACUGUGAGAAGCGUAAACGCGAUGAAGUCUAACAUGCCUACAUGAACAGAACACGCUGAACGGCUAUGCAAUGACUGUCCUGCUGAAGCUUGCAUAUAGCUAAAUGUGGUCUACGGAUGCAACCGCAACAGCACGAGGAACGAGACUUGCAGUGAUGUCGUACCAUACAUUGGUGAAGAGUGCAUACACCUUGCUGUCUCUCCAGUUGGCUGCAUGCAG
This is a long non-coding RNA of Anguilla rostrata (American eel), 437 nucleotides long. RefSeq lists it as uncharacterized. The transcript is spliced from 3 exons. The record is from RefSeq and is a predicted model, not a curated record. NCBI's taxonomy places the organism in Eukaryota, Metazoa, Chordata, Actinopteri, Anguilliformes, Anguillidae.